This 385-nucleotide ribosomal RNA is filed under the name uncultured bacterium. RNAcentral's name for it is "bacterial SSU rRNA". It matches the Rfam family "Bacterial small subunit ribosomal RNA", at positions 47 to 428 of the family's 1533-position model. The record is from RNAcentral.
CCUAACACAUGCAAGUCGAACGGUAACAGGAAGCAGCUUGCUGCUUCGCUGACGAGUGGCGGACGGGUGAGUAAUGUCUGGGAAGCUGCCUGAUGGAGGGGGAUAACUACUGGAAACGGUAGCUAAUACCGCAUAAUGUCGCAAGACCAAAGAGGGGGACCUUCGGGCCUCUUGCCAUCGGAUGUGCCCAGAUGGGAUUAGCUAGUAGGUGGGGUAACGGCUCACCUAGGCGACGAUCCCUAGCUGGUCUGAGAGGAUGACCAGCCACACUGGAACUGAGACACGGUCCAGACUCCUACGGGAGGCAGCAGUGGGGAAUAUUGCACAAUGGGCGCAAGCCUGAUGCAGCCAUGCCGCGUGUAUGAAGAAGGCCUUCGGGUUGUAA